This 445-nucleotide ribosomal RNA is filed under the name uncultured bacterium. RNAcentral describes it as "bacterial SSU rRNA". It matches the Rfam family "Bacterial small subunit ribosomal RNA", at positions 217 to 662 of the family's 1533-position model. The record is from RNAcentral.
GGUAUGGGAUGAGCUUGCGUCCGAUUAGCUAGUUGGCGGGGCAACGGCCCACCAAGGCGACGAUCGGUAGCCGGCCUGAGAGGGUGAUCGGCCACAUUGGGACUGAGAUACGGCCCAGACUCCUACGGGAGGCAGCAGUAGGGAAUAUUGUACAAUGGGGGAAACCCUGAUGCAGCAACGCCACGUGUGGGAAGAAGCAUUUCGGUGUGUAAACCACUGUCGUGAGGGAAUAAGGCAUCGUUUCGGCGAUGUUGAAUGUACCUCGAAAGGAAGCACCGGCAAACUUCGUGCCAGCAGCCGCGGUAAUACGAGGGGUGCAAGCGUUAUUCGGAAUCACUGGGCGUAAAGGGAGCGUAGGCGGAGAAGCAAGCGGACUGUACAAUACCGGGGCCCAACCCCGGACCUGCAGUUCGGACUGCUUUUCUUGGAUAGUUCAGGGGCAGGC